Molecule: long non-coding RNA, 1122 nt
Organism: Hylaeus volcanicus
Lineage: Eukaryota; Metazoa; Arthropoda; Insecta; Hymenoptera; Colletidae
Exons: 3
Source: RefSeq, a predicted model, not a curated record
AACUGAGUCAUCGGUACUAAAAAAAUGUCCUGCGUCCGUUAAUGACAUCAUUCGUUAAAAAAUUAAUCAAAAUUGGUGCGUUUUAAUUGGGUAAUUCUCGUAGACCGCGGGGCCACCUGUCUUGCGCCGGCCCUGUACUUACGUGACCGUCGUCACAUCCUCCUCCGAUGAACCCGGGCAGAAUCCUAACGCCAUGAUUACGCUGAAUAGCUGUUCGUUAUUUUCAGAUCCCACGAUUCCUCCAAGCGUGGAAUGGGCAUAAAAGCUCAUCCACGCCAGAGGCGAUGGAGCGGAGAUGAAUCAGCAUCGUUAAACAACGUGUCUACGCGUGGGGUAUUACAGUCAACGCUUGAAAAGCCGAUGCCUUUGGAGAGACUUUACGAUCGAAGGUGUCCCGGAUGGACAGGAGACAGUCAACGUUUGCUCGACGAAGAAUGAUCCGGCCAGACGGUGAACAGGGGAUGCUCGAAGGUGGAUGGAAUGGCAAAAAGUGGAAAAACCCAGGCGUUGGACACGGAGUGCGUCGAACCGGUCGAACCGCUCAAGAGCAACCGCAUUCCUGAGGAUUUCUACGUCACUGCUGGGUCUGACAACCCUUUCGUUGUGCCCUCUUCGAAGAACGAUAAGGAUCGGAGUCGAUGGAGAAUCAUUCGCCCGCGAAGGACCCCUGGAUAACUGGUCCGCACGGUUUCGUGCAUGCAACGACGAUCGACGUCAUCUUUCGACAUCGUUACCGUUACGAUUGCUCCGUUUCGUCACAGACGUAGAGAUCCGUCGGAGGAAGUUAGAUGGUAUAACCUGCGCCAAUUACCGGUAAUCGAUAUUAGACGAUUAAACGUCGCGAAGAUAGAAAGGAAACGACCUUGGAUCCAACCGGAGAUGAGCGUAUCUAAGUAUCAUGGGUCGAAAGUGGUCCCAAGUCUGAUCGCAACGAGCCAUUGAAACGUAUCUGCUGGAAUAUGAAGGAUUCUCCAUGGGUAUCGAUCGACGUGCCGUUCAUUUGGAGCGAACCGUUCCUUUGUGCUCGCGCUGAGCGCGGCAUUAAUUGCGAUACGUUCCCAGCAUGAAAACCAACAAAGGCCAAGGAGAAAUAAGGCGAAGCUCGGUCAGCCGUCGGCUGCU